This is a non-coding RNA of Monodelphis domestica (gray short-tailed opossum), 16337 nucleotides long. The record is from RefSeq and is a predicted model, not a curated record. NCBI's taxonomy places the organism in Eukaryota, Metazoa, Chordata, Mammalia, Didelphimorphia, Didelphidae.
UUUGAAGGAAGCUAGGAAUCCUCAAUGGUUUUUAUAAUGGCUUAGAGAUUAAAAAAAAAAAGGAAAGUUACAUAAGAGAGAUCACAAGUAGAGCCAUUUUAUUGGAUCAAAAGGUAUGUAUGGGCAAGAUUGACGAAAUAGGUCUACAAAAGUAAGCCAGACCUAGAUUCUGAAAUGCUUUAAAAGUCAAACGAAGGUGUUUGUGUUUAAUACUAGAGGCAACAUGGAGGAUUAGUUUGAUAUUUGUAAAAAAAUUGAGACAAAUGGUUUCAGUAGUACAAGUAAGAAGUGAUGAGGUCCUGAACUACAGUGGUAACAUUUUAAGUGAAGAGAAAGGGUCAUGUCUGAGGCAUUGCAUAAAGAGGUAGAAAAAAUUAAGUUCAAUGUGGAAUUAGGGAGGAACGAGGUAAAAAGAUCAAGAGGGGGAUAGAUUCAGGAUAUUAACCAUAAGAAAAAGAAACUCCUCUUUUGGAUAUUUGAAUCAGGAAGGAAGGAAUAAAAAGGAAAGAAAAGACAAGAACAUGUUUGGGAACUGAGCUGAUAAAAAAAAAAAAGAACAGUGAAACCGAAGCAGAUAGCUUCAAAUGUGAAUCUCUAAUAAGGUAUGGGCAAAGUAAGCAACAUGUAUAAGAAAAUAGGAUGAAAGGAAAUUUCUAAUUAAUGAUUAUAACUAUGAGUGUGAAUGGGAUGAACUCAUCCAUAAAACAGAGGACAAAGAAGAAUCAAUUAAAAAUAGAAUUCAACAAUAUAUUUUAUAAUUUUUUUCAAUAAAUAUACUAAUACCAAAGGAAUAAAAAAAUUAAAAUAAGAUACUGGAAUAAAAUGUAUUUUUAGGUCAACUCAAAGGAGCUUGUUAACAAUCAUGACCUUAAAGUACACAGGAGUUUUUUGUUUUAAACAGAAGAGGUAAACAGGGAAACUAUAUUGUGCUUAAAGGUACCAAAGACAAUGACUUGAAAUCAACUUUUAAUGCAUACACCAAAUACUAUAGCAUUUAAAUACUUAAAGGAAAAAUUAUGGAAAAACUGAGAGUACAAUUAUAAUAGUUCAGAUUUCAAUGUAUCCUUCUUAGACUUAGACAAAUCUAAGCAAGUGAUAAAUAAGAAAGAAUUUAAAGAUCUGAAUAGAAUUUUAGAUAACUAUAACUAUAAUAGUAAUUGCUUAAUUGGAACAUAAAUUAAAUAUAUCUAUAUCUGUAAACUGCAUACUAUCUUUACAAAAAUUCACCAUGCAUUUAAGAAUAGAAAUCUCAAAAGCAGAUAUAGAAAAGCAGAGACCUUUAAGACAUCCUAUACUGAUCAUAACAGUAGGAAUUAUGUUUAAUAAGGGGCUUUGAAGAAGAGAUUCAAAUUAAAUGUAGGCUAAAUCAUCUAAUCCCAAAGAAUUACCGAACAGAGGGCGAUUAGGGGGUUCAAUGGAUAGAGUCAGGUCUGGAGAUGGGGACUACUGGGUUCAAAUUUGUCCUCAGACACUUCCCAGCUGUGUGAUCCUUACCACCACUGCCUAGUGCAAUGACGGCAAAUCUUGGGAGGCUGAGUGCACAAACUGCAACCCUCAUGCCCCAUGUGAGCCCCCCAUCUGGCCCCAAACAGGGGAGGAAGGAAGUGCUCCCAUUGGGCUGCUGGGCAGAGGGGGCGGGUCAUGUGAGAAAUGUCUUUCAGGCAUGCAUGGAGAGGGGAAGGAAGCAGCCCCCUCUGGCUCAAAUAAGAAGGUCAAUAAAUGAAGGACUAAGGUGAUGUGCUGUGGGUUACUCUGAUUCCUAUAUGGCACAUGUGUCACAGGAGCACCAACACAGGCCUAACCCUUACCAUUCUUCUACUUUAUAACCAACCCAUAUUAUUGAUUCUAAGGUGGAAAGUAAGAGUUUUGGUUUUUGUUUUUUAAAGAAAGACACGGAUUCAAGUACAGAUCAUAGAAACAAUAGAAAAUCGCAUCAAACACGAAGAUAAUAAUGACACAAGAUACAGAAACUUUAGAACUCAGAUUAUAAUUGGCUGGGCUGCAAUCAGAUCGAUUUUUUGAUAGUUUAGGCUUGAAAUUGGAAUGAGUCACCAAUGAUCUAACAUUUUUUUGAAAAAGAUGUUUACUUAGGGGGCAGCUGGGUACCCAGUGGAUUGAGAGCCAGACCUAGAGAUGGGAGGUCACCAAUUAUUGUUGCUGUCACAUGGGAGGAAACUGGUAUACCAACUGAAUGUGCUCCCAUUAAAAAAAGGGAAGAGUUAUGAAUAAAGAUUAAACAGAAAGAAAUGAUGUUCAAAUGUAAAAAUGAUCAAAUUCUGCUGAAAAGGUAACUAUAAACACAUGUUAAUUUUUAUGUAAAAAAGUAGUAUUCUAAUUUAUUAAAAAGCAAAUUAUAUUCUUGGAUCUGAUCGUAUUCGACAUCCUACUAUGAAACAUUUCUUGAACUAGAGACCUAGCAAUAUCAUUAUGAAUUUCUAUUCUAUGCUUAAAUACUUUGCCAUUUGAUUCAAAAAUACUACUUUAAUUUAGAAUUUAUAACCCCAAAGAGCUAUAAAACUGUGCAUACCCUUUGACUACGCAAUACCACUACUAGGUCUGGAGGGUGAACGCUAAAACUAAAAUUCUCUAUUGUACAUGUCAUGAUGCUCUCCAUCUUCUGCUCACUCCUAAUUCCUCUCCUCGCCGUAGAUCUGGUGGAUAGUAGGUUCCCUGUUUUUCUCAUUUGUUUAUAUCCCCUUUUAUGCCUAGGUCAUAGCUCCAUUUUGACCUUAUCUUGGUGAAUGAUAGAAGCUAAUGGUCUACACCUAGGUUUUGCCAUACUCCUUUCCAACUGUCCCAGGAAUUUUGACCAAAUAGUGACUGCUUACUCCCAAAAUUUGGAUCUAUACUCUGUCAAGUCCCCAAUGACUAUACUCUUUUAUUGCUGUUAGCUGAAUGUCUGUUCUGUCCCACUGAUCUAAUUACUGCUUAUGGGUGCAGUUUAGAAUCCGGCACUGCUCUGCUUCCUUAAUACGCUUUCAUUAAUUCAUUUGAUAUUCUUGAGCUUUUGUUCUCCCAGAUGGAUGCCCGAUAUAUGGGAUGGCUAUAGAAACACAUAUAUACACACACAGGAUGGAUACUACGUAAAUGAGUCAAGCACAUGCGAGCAGGAGCCGUCUCCCCAUAGCAGUCUUCAAAGGAACAGUGCUGUGGGGAACACACUUAUUUAUGUCUAUGGACGUGUAAAACGGUUUGUGUCUCUUACCAGGCUGCAAUCUCAGCGAGGCGAGAUGGCCUCAUAGCACCAAGCGCAGUGCUCAGCCCCGGACAUUUCAUGAAUGCCUGCUUCUGAUACAGACGCUGCACGAUGAAUUCCAUUUCUCCCCCGGCUCUACAUAGCGUCUGGAAGCCAAUCAAGACAGCUUCCAACCAUCGAAAGAAUCCCUAACAGCAGGAACUCUCCCUGAAUGACCGGGCCACCUGCGCCCUUCCUGGAGAUCUGUGGACAGGGACAAGAUGCCGACCUGUUCCAGGGCUUGCAGGAGGAUUGCUCUUCGGUUAUUGCUGGCACCAAAUGGAUGCUGGAGCCCCUUCCAACUCUGAAGUUCUACAACACGGAGGCUCGGAAACUAUUCUCUCCAUUCAGGAAAACUGUCGUCUGUCUGCUGAAUAGAACAACUGUUUCUGAUUCCUGUCUACGGCUCUGUGGCUAAGUGAACACCAACUGGUCUAGAAUGACUCCGGGCUUCUUCAGACCGAGGACAGUGCUCUAGGUUGGCUUAUCCAUCGUAAUUGGGGUACAGACGUCCCACCUUGCCCUUUUUGGCGUGCCUCCCCUUUUUUUGACUUUGGUCACUGAUGGAGGGAAGUCUGGAAGAGAAAUGUCCUUCUACCAGUGCAGACUGCAAAGGAAGACAGCCAUUGUUCUGCAAUUGGCAGUCUCAGACACAUUCGUGGAACAUGAAUGGCCACACGAUUUGCCUGGAGUUUCAGGAACAGGUUGCAUGUGUCACUGGCAACAUCUGGACGCACAUCUUUCGGCUUCUGAAGCCACUGCUCCUGAUUGGCAUGUAUGACCUAUGUUGUCUUGUAUUAUAAAGAUGGGUGUGUGUGUAUGGAUCUACAGCCUUUCCUACGGGGUUAAGUGACAUGUGAGAAGGAACUGUGUAUCCCAUUCAGUAAUGAACAUAGUGAUUUGUACAUACUAAGCACAAAGUAGAGAGUUAUGGAAUAAACGCACAAUGAAGGCUGGCCUGUGUGCUUGAAAAGAGAGUACUUGAUACGGAGGUAAACACGUCUCACCUACAUCCAAUGUCUGGUGUUUGUGCCCUCGCGACAGAAUUUUUUUUGGAAAUACUUUUCAUGGCAAUUCAACUUUUUGCUGUUUAUUAAGACUUCAGAGAUACAAACCAGUAGCUUAGUAAUUGCUUUCUUGAAUCUGCCUUUAAUAAUUACAUUUAGCAAAACUGUAUUGAAAAUUAGAAAGGCAGAGACUAAUGGAAAACUAGAUUUUUCACUGAAUUAGAAAGCAAGACAAUCCAUAUAUUGACAACGCUUCAAGUUGAAACAGAUCAGGAAAACUGUUUUGGACUGUUUGUGCAAAGAGGCAAACACAGGCCUGAUGGGCAGUGGCAUCUGCAUUUUAUGGGAGGAGAGAAACUAGGAGAGAUUUCAUGUAAAUAGGUGUCUUGAGACAGGGCAGUACAAAUGUGAUUUAGAUUCAUGCCAUUUGAAUCUUCGUAAGUCUGAAUUUUCUCCUUAGCACUAACAAAAAGCAGGAAAAAAAUAAAUGUAUUAGUAUGGAAAUACUUUGACUUAAAAAAGGAAACUUAUUAAGAGCCAUAUCAUUAUAACAAGAAGCAAUCUGUUCAGAAAGAUGGUGGGAAAAGAGCUUUUUUUGACUUGUCUUUAUAGUGUUUACAAUUUUUUCAGAAACUUAUAAAGACAUUCAAAUCAAAGUUGAAUUUGUGUUCAAAUAAUAACUGAAGAUUUAUUUAAAAUACAAAUGUUAUUGAUAUCUUCUAUUUUACAAAACCUACAUUUCCUACUCUGGGAACUGUUGGUUCAAGAAAAUCAUUUUGGCAACUAGAUGGAUUAGAGAGGAGAAAGAUUUGAAACAGGAAACCUCUAAGCAAGAGGUGAUGAAAGUAUGAACUAGGUUGGUGACUGUGUAAGUAAACAGACAGAGAUAGAUAUAUAAAUACAAAUAUACAUACAAUAUUUAUUACAUGAUUACUAUGUGCCAGACUCUAUGCUAAGCACUGGUGAUAUUAAUACAAGCAAGCCAGGCAUUCUUUGCAGAAAAGCAGUUUAUAAUGGAAGCAGACAACACAUAAGGGGAUGUUGGAAGUCGGGGAGAAACAGACUUCUGAAAGAUGGUGAGAAUUUAGCCAGGUAGUGGCAUUGAGGUUUGUGUCUUGUCAAAAUAAGGCAAAAAAUUCACCUUUCAGAUCUGGGGGAUCCUAUGGACAGAGUCCAAGUUUCUGGCAGAACGAGGAACAGAACUAUUCCCAAAGGGUGCUAGAAGACUGUCUGUCCUUAGAUCCAGCCAUAGCACUGCUGGGUUUGUACCCCAAAGAGACAAUAAGGAAAAAUACAUGUACAAGAACAUUCAUAGCUGCGCUCUUUGUGGUGGCCAAAAAUUGAAAAAUGAGGGGAUGCCCUUCAAUUGGGGAAUGGCUGAACACACUGUGGUAUAUGUUGGUGAUGGAAUACUAUUGUGCUCAAAGGAAUAACGAACUGGAGAAUUUCUGUGUGAACUGGAAAGACUUCCAGGAAGUGAUGCAGAGCGAGAGGAGCAGAACCAGGAAAACAUUGUACACAGAGACUGAUACACUGUGGUACAAUCAAAGGUGAUGGACUUCUCCAUUAGUGGCAAUGCAGUGACCGUGAACCACUAUCCACACUCAGAGGAAAUACUGUGGGUGUAGAAGCAGAAGAAAAACAGCUGCUUGAUUGCCUGGGUCGAGGGGAUAUGGCUGGGGAUGGAGACUCUGAAUGAACAUCCCAGUGCAAAUGCCAACAACAUGGAAAUGGGUUCUGAUCAAGGACACAUGUAAUACCCAAUGAAACUGUGGGAAAGGUGGGUGGAGGGGAGGGAGGGAAAUAAAGUGAGUAUUGUAACCAAUAAAUAAUGUUCUAAAUUGACUAAAUAAAUUCAUUCAAAAGGAAAAAGGAGGAGGAACAGAGCAUAAACAUAUAUGAAAGAUAAGUGAACUUUAAAAUGCCAGUGGAUUAGCUAUGUAGGAGAAAAGUGAAAGUGUCUGGGAUGAUUGGAAGGAUGGCUGAUGCUCUUGACAAUAACAAUAGUAAUAAGGAGAGAAGGAUCUGUAGAUAAAGAUAAUCUUUUGGAAGUGCUGAGUUUGAGAUGUCUCUAGGGCAUCUAGUUCUAAAUGUAUAAAGUCUAAAUAUAUGAGAGGAAAAUAUUUGCCAAGAUAUUGCCAAGAUGCUAAACCUAUGGCAGCUGCUGAGAUCAAGCAAGACAGUACAGAGGGAGAAGAGAAAGUCAAGAAAAAGCAAUGAGGGUCACCAUGAUAACUAGGCAUAACAUGGAUAAAGAUUCAGCAAAGGAGAAUGAAAAAAGUGGUCAAAGCGGUAACAUAAAAAGAAGGUAUCAGCAUGAUGCUGUCAAGGAGUCAAAGAUGUCAAAAGAAAAGGAAGAAGAGAAUGGCAGCUAGCAUUUACAUAUAGUGUUGUAAGGGUUGCAGUGUUUUACAUCUGUUAUUUCAUUUGAUCUUCACAGCCCUGUGGAGUGGGUAUUAUUAUUAUUAUUCCUAUUUUACAAAUGAGGAAACCAAGGCUGAGAUAGGUUAAGCACCUUGUCCAGGCUCACACAGAUCAAUGUCUGAGACAGGAUCUGAACUCCUCCAAAUCAAGCAAGCUAUCUGUUGUGCCACCCAACUACUGUGAAGACCAUUUGAAGAAAUUGGGGAUGGUUAGUCAGGAGCUUCAAGGAAGACUUACAAAAGCCAUGAGAGUGGACUUCAAUUAUUUGAAGAGUGGUCAUAUGGAAGGAGAUUUGACUUAUUCUGCUUGGCCCAAGAAGGCAGCUUUAGAAGGAACUGGUAAGGGAGCAGUUAGGGAGCUCAGUAGAUUGAGAGCCAGGUCUAGAGAUGGGAGGUCCUGAGUUCAAAUCUGGACUCAGACACUUCCUACCUACAUGACCCUAUUCCCUUGAUUCCCAUUGCUUAGCCUUGGAACCAGAAAGCCAGAAGGUUAGGUUUUCAUUAAAAAAAAAAAAAGAAAUAAGAAAUUGUAAAGGAAUAAACUUGGGCUUCAUGUCAGAAAAUAAACUAAUUUCUGGCUAAUUUAAGGCUAUCUAAACAUGGAAAUGGCUCUCUCAGAAGGUAUAGUUUUGAAGAGCAUCACUUCAUUGGAAUUCUAGAGGCAAAAGCCAUGUGAUAGGAAUAAUAAUAUCUAAGAUUCUCCUUCCACUUUUCUCCCUCCCCAACUCCAAAUUGUAAUAUUAGGCUAGUUAUUUUACUUUGCUAAAGGGCUGUCCCUAAGACUUGAUGGGGGGGGAGGGGUUGUUAAUGUUCAAGUUUCUUAGCUGUGCUUCCUGAUGGUCUCAGAUCAAGUUGAUAGGGUUUUAUCAUACCAAAAGGCAUUAAAAAGGCUUGUCAAUGUGUAAUCUGGGCCAUUUAGAUUAGGCAAAUACUCCAAGGUAUUCUUCCCAGCUGAUGACACAUUUCUAUAGAGUGACACAGGGCUAUAUGUACCAGAGCUAAGUGCUGUAUCUUUAUAGUGCAUCUUUUUUAUGCUAUGGCUAAAUAAAUAUUUUUGUUAACUACUGAAUAAGCUUAGAGUAUCUCCUUUCAGUCUAAUAAUGAGUCAAAUUCUUUAAGCAUGGAUUGAACUAAAUAAAUAGUCACUUAAGUUCUUUCAAAUUCUGAAAUUCCUUGACUGACUCAAGUGAGGAAUAGUUUUAUAAACUUACAUUGAUGCCCUAUGGAGUCAUAUGUUUAAACCACUUUUGAACCUGGGUUCAAAUCUGACCUCCGGGACCCCCCUACAAGUUUUAAAAAUGUAUCUAGUCUUUGGUUUCUUUAUCUGUAAUAUGAAGGGAUUUGGACUUGAUGACUUCUAACAUUCCUUGCAAUUCUAAAUCUAUACAUUCUGAUUUCCAGUCAAUAACAUAUUCUAUUCUGUAUGUAUUAUUUUCUCCCUGAAAAAUAUUUUGAAUUUUAUAUUAUCAAGCUUGUCUAUUUUGUCAUUUAUAACUUCCUCAAUACUUUAUCUCUCGUUCCUCCAUAAUUUUGAAAGAGAAGACUCUAUUCUUCUUAAAUUGUACUAUGAUGUAAUUUUCAUAUUCAGAUGAUUUAUUCUUUUAAAAUAUAAUGUGGUUUAUGGCGUAAGAUAUCUUAAACUAUUUAAACUAUUUUCUGGCAAACUACUGUCCAGAUUUCUUAGUAGUUCUUGUCAAAGAAAAAGUUCUUCCCAUGGAAGUUUAUUUUCCUGGGUUAAUCUAAUAAUAUAGUGUCUUGAUUUGUUGCUAGUUCUUGUUUGUUUGUUUUUUUAAUUUGUCAGUCUGUUUUUAAUCAUUCUCAUGCACAAUAAAGAACGCAGAAUGAAAGACUAAAAAUUAAUUGGGAACUAAAUAUUCUUAACCUAAAGAUGACUAGCUCAAAGAACAAAUCAUAGAAAUAAUCAAAAAUUUCAUUAAAGAAAAAAGCCAACGAGGAAACAACAUAUCAAAAAUUAUGAGAUACAGUCAAAGCUGUACUUGGGGGUAAAUUUAUAUCUAAAUGCUUACAUAAAAAAAAAAAAAAAGAACAGAUUAUAACCUGGGCAUGCAACUUUAAAAACUAAAAAAAGAACAAAUUAAAAAUUCCCAAUUAAACACUAAAUUAGAAAUUCUAAAAGUCAAAGGAAGAUUAAUAAUAUUGAAAGUAAGAAAACCACUGAGCUGAUAAGAGACUUAUUUAAACAAAUAAACCAUUAGUUAAUUUGAUUACAAAAAGGAGAAAACCAAAUCACCAGUAUAAAAAAUGAAAAAGGUGAAGUCACAACCAAUUAAUUAAAAAUUAAAGCAAUUAUUAGGAGUUACUUUGCCCAAUUAUAAUGCCAAUAAGUCUGUCAAUCUAAGUGAAAUGGAUGAAUAUUUAGAAAAAUAAAUAUUGGCCAGAUUAAUAGAUGAAGAAAUAGAAUACAUAAACAACCCCAUUUCAGAAAAAAAAAAGAAAACAAAUCAUCAAUGAAUUCCCCAAGAAAAUAUCACCAAGGCCAGAUGAUUCACAAGUGAAUUCUAUCAAAUAGUCAAGGAACUAUUAAUUUCAAUACAACAUAAAGUAUCUGGAAAACUAGUUGAAGAAGGAAUUCUUGCAAAUUUUCUUUAUGACAUAAAUAUGGUAGUGAUAUCUAAAUAAGGCAGAGCAAAAACAUAAAAAGAAAAAUAUAGACCCAUCUCCCUAAUGAUUUUUGAUGCAGAAAUUCUUUUUUUUUAAACAUUAUCUUCCAUCUUUGAAUUAAUACUGUGUAUCGGUUCCAAGGCAGAAGAAUGGUAAGGCUAGGCAAUGAUAGCUAAGUGAUUUUCCCAGGGUCACAUAGCUAGGAGGAGCCAAGGUCACAUUUGAACCCAGGACCUUCAUCUCUGGACCUGGAUCUCAAUUCACUAGCUGCCCUCUAUGAAAACUCUAAAUAAGAUACUAGCAAGGAUAUUACAGCAAUAUCUCAAAAGCAUCAUAUGCCAUGAUGGGUUGGGUUUUAUACUAGGAAUAGAGGGAUGGGAUAAUGGGAAAACUAGGAGCAUAAUUGACCAUAUCAGUAACAAAACCAAUAGAAACCAUAUGAUUAUCUCAAUAGAUGAAGAAACUUUUUACAAAAUACAAUAUCCAUUCCUUGUAAAAAUGUUAGAAAACCCUGGAAUAAGAGGAAUUUUCCUUAAAGUGACAAACAGUAUCUACCUAAAACAAUCAGCAAGCAUUAUCUGUUCUCAAUAAUAUCAGGGGUUAAGCAAGGAUGAACAUUAUCAUUAUUACUAUUUAACAUUGUACUAGAAAUGCUAGCUAUAGCAAUAAGAAAAAGAAUUUGAAGGAAUUAGAAUAGGCACUAAAGAAAUAAAGUUAUUACUCUUUGCAUUAGAUAUGAUGCAAAUAUUCAGAGGACCCCAAAAGAAUCAACCAAAAAACUAAUUGAAACAAUAACUUUAGUAAAGUUACAAGAUAUAAAAUAAACCCACAUAAAUCAACAAUACAUCUAUUACCAUCAACAAAAUACAACAGCAAGAUAUAGAAAGAGAAAUUUCAUUUAAAAUAAUUAUAGACAAUACAAAAUACCUGAAGUUCUACCUACCAAAAUAAACCAAAUCUGAAUAUAAUUACAAAACAUUUUUCAGACAAAUAAAGUUUUCUGCAUAGACAACUGGGACAUACCAAGUCAAUUCUAUCUAAAUAAAUUUACCUUUUCAGUACCAUACCAAACUACCAAAAAUUAUUCAUCAAGCAUAAAAAAAUAGUAAAAUUCAUGACAGAACAAGAGGUCAAGAGUAUCAAGGAAAUUAAUGGAAAAAGUGAAGGAGAUAUAAAACUAUAUUAUUAAGUGAUAAUCACUAAAACAAUCUGGUACUGGCUAGGUUAGGUAAUCAACACAGCAGUAAAUGACCACAGUAACCUACAGUUCCAUAAACCCAGAGAUUGAAGAUUUGGGGGAAGAACUCCCUAUCUGACAGAAUUGUUGAGAAAACUGGAAAACAAUAUGGCAUAAACUAGGCAUAAACCAACAUCUCACACUAUAUAUUGUAGGAAUAUAAGUUAGGGAUAAGACUGGUUUCUAGAGUUAGUUGAAAGAAGAGAAUUUUGAGAUAAGCCCUGGGAGAGGAUUCUGUUUAGGACAAGGAAUUAUGGGAAUCUGAACUGAAAAUAACUGAAACUUCCUUCCUUCUUGGAUUUCGUCUGAGCUGGAAGUUGGUUUUGUCUCUCUGCCUGAAUUUCCAUCAAGCUGAAGGAGGAGUUUGGAUCUAAGAGAUUCUCCCUGGAUAGCCAAGAUUUCGUGGAGGAAUCUUUGACACGUAGGUAGAGAACUUAAUUUGGAGGAAUGCAAUUUCCCUAAGUCCAAAAAUCAUCUGCCAGUGGUCCAGCCAACAGAAUUCCUCUUGGGCGAAGGGCAUAAAGGAUACCGCAGGGUAGUGUCUUGAUGCUUGCAUGAACUGUACUUCAGUGAGGCAGAGCUGCACAAAGUCCUCAGCCUUGCUCUCUUAUGACCAAAAAUUACUGCUGGUCCACGUCUGACCAAGUUCUCGGUGCUCCAACAGGGCUUCCUUCAGCCACUUCCACGGGUGGGAGAACAAGUUGUUCUCAGUCACCAGCUCCAUGGGGACAUCUUCCGUGCUUGGGGCAGAUGCCCCCCUCACUCACUGGCAGUUGGAGGCCAUGAGAUGCCCUCCUCCUAGCCCCUCUGCCAAGAGGGUUUGCAGAGCGGCCACUGUUCAUGCCAUCACUUCUUGGAGCCUCAGGCCAGAGUGGACAAUAAGGACGGAGAAGCCACCCUGAAAAGGGCAGCCCUCACGUCCGAAGUGACGGACUUCCUGAGCCCCCAAUAAACAUCUGCUGAGUGAUGAGAGUCCAGGAGAGCGAUCGGGCCUGGACAUUCUGAUUAAAGGAUCUUUGGCCAGAAGACACAACUGAAACUAUGCCAGCGAACGAGAUCAUGAAAUGAGAUCGAUAUACAGAGAGAAAGAAGGGUCUGGGCAGAGGUUUGGGGGACACACCAAGCUUGGGAUGGAUAAAGAUCCAACAAGUCUGAGAAGGGUGGGAUGAGAGGAUCAGAAUUCGACAUGGUACCCGACCCUGAUGAAUGUACCGAGCAAGAGAGCGGAGAGAGGAAGGGGGUUCAGGACAAAACCUUGUAUUAGGGGCCAGUAACAUCCCCUGCGCCUUGCAAGCUCCUUGUACAAGGGUUGAAUUUUGUAACUGAACUCUUCCCACCUAAACAAGGCAGAGAGGUCGGGAUUCAAUGAGAAUGGGGUUAGCUAGGCGACAGUUAGCAGCGGCUAACUGAAUUUACAAUUAGGCACGUUAUUUGGCUUGCAAAAUUUAAAUAAAUGAAUAAAGUAUUAAGUGCCUGCUAGUGCAAAGCACCGUGAUGAUCAGAGUAGAAAUGGAAAUGUGGAACAAUCCCUGCUCUGAGAGAGCUUGAAUGGGCCCUCACCUAUUGUGGGAGUUAAGUUCCAGAGAGCCCCCACACUAGGUGAAUCUGUGAAGUUUGUUAUUUCUAUUUUCAGUCUUUCUAAGCCCUUCCCACUCUCCUAGAAACCUUUUCCACACUCUUAUUAACCUGCAGUCACUGAACCAAUCAACACCCAGGAUACAGAACACAGCGCUGUGGUUGGUCGCCUUUCAUUCCAUCUGCCCUGUGCCAUGAUAAGUUUAACUCCACAGUACAGAAUUAGAUUAAAAAAAAACCCGAAAUACAAUGAAGGCAGGAUCAGUGAACUAUAAUAUAGCGAGGGACAGCGAUAAAAUGGAAAAUACACCUACAAGUCCUAUGAAAAGGCACGCUGGUGCUCGGGACACUACAGCAAAGCAGAUUCUAGUUCUUUCUUUCGUGUCAUUUUCACGGAUAAAAUCACAUUAAUUUCUGAUGUCGAACCAGAGGACAAUACCAAGGAGUCCUGUGACAAAAGUUUUCUUUUCUGGGUCUUCAAGAGCUAUGGCUACAGCACUUGCAGAGAAGUUGCCAGGACGCAUCUGCGCAGGACUUCCUUCCUAGAACAGUGCCUAAGAACACACGGCUGUUCCAAAAGUUCUUGAGUUCAGUGUCUUGUCAUUGGUGACAAAUCCAGCACAAGAACUACAUGAAAGGAUACAUGAGCUACUUCCCUUUAAGUUCCAUGCACUCAUUAAAGGUAAGGGCAUUCUUUUUUAAUUAUUAUUUAAAGCUGAGAAGGGGAGUAGUCUCUAGACUCCAUACUUAUCCAAGACAUCUGGAUUCUUUUUUUCAGUAGGUCAGUAUUAACCUUUAUUUCUAUUUCCUGAGCCAUGGGAUUCAUUGAGUGAAAUGCUAUAGGGAAAAUCCAUUGAAGCCUUUCCAUUCAAAACACCACAGACCUGGCAUUAAAAGAAAUAGGCAAGUGUUUGAGGGACUGACUGAAUUAUUUGUAUUGUCUGUCUUCAUUAAAGCAAGUUUUUCUCUAAAGAGAUCUGAAAGGGUCAUAGAAGGCUCCAGAGACUCUGACCCAGGAACAAUGAUGCCACCAACCAGGAGAAUCAUCAUGGCCAGUAGGUAAACAAAGGGGUAGCAUGUAUUCUGAAGACAAAGAUGAUUAUCUUUUUUGUCUCUAUCUCCUCACCUCUUCUUUUGUCCUCUACCAGGUCUUUGACUGCCACUAUAGUGGAGGCUUAUCACAAGCAUGACUUAAUAAGAUUAGACAAUGUAGAUAAUAACUUUAAGUUAAAUGAAUUAGAAAUGCAAAUAAUUAUAAUUAAAUUGUGAAUAAGUUAUUUAUAUAAUACUUUAAAAAUUAAUUUGGUGAUUUGUCCCAUGGAAAUAAGAAUCCAAAUUGCUAUAGUCCAUACAAAUAAUUGUAUUUUUAUCUAUAUGGCUAAAGUGUUCACCUGACAAAGACAGGUUUUGCCUAUUUGUUGAUAGGUCCAGGCAAAGAGGCAAUAAUAUGGUGUCAUUUUAUGCAGGCUCUAUGGUUUAUACUCGGUAUGAGCCAUUGGAAAGUGACAUUGUCAAUUUUUUUCCUGUUUAGAAUGCUGAGAGAGUUGAGUUCAGUCAUGUUUAACAAAAAACAGUUUUUAUUCAACCACAAAGGAUCUGGCUUUCAGAAAUAUUUAAACCAACUCAGUUGUGUGAAGACUAGAUUUGGCUCUCCUCUGAUUGUAACAAAGAAGAUACUUAGUUCUUCCCUGAUUGUGAAGAUUUAAAUUGUAACUCAUGUCUAUUUUUAGAUUUAAUCCCCAUAAGGGUAAACACCCUUUUUAAAAGUUAAGUAUGGAGACCUGCCUAUUUUUAGAUUCAGUCACAAAAAGUGCAAACACGGUACUUAAAGUUGAAUGGGAAGAUCUGCCCAUGUUAGAUCUAAUCACCAACGGUGUAAACAUCCCAUUAAAUCAUUUAGUGGGAGGUCUGUGACCCACAUGUGAAAUAGUGGAUAACAAACCAGAAUUGACUUAACUGCCUUCUGGGAAGUCCUAGAACAGAGAGUCAACUAUGAUUGGUAGACGUGGAAUUAAGGGAAGGUACAGGAAGUGACGCAAGAGAAAAUGUCUUUAAAAGGGGCUGUCACUUCCUGUGAGAGGGAGUUCUUCAUUUUUGGAAGUGAAGGCAGGAGUCUUGGAGUGGAACUUCCUGUGAGAAUUCAGUUCUUCAUGCUUUUGAGUCGAGGCUGGUGAAGAGGGGCAGAAGGAUCUGCUGACUGAACUGAUACAUAGUGAGUGAAAAGGCUGACUCCCUUUCUGGGGGUACCAACCUCCAGAAAGGCCCACCAUUUUGAGACUCCUUUCCCUUGGCAGGCACCUCUGAACUCCUGGCUCAAGAGGAUCUCUCUUUUUCCUCUCUAUCUCUCUUCCUUAAUAUCAUCCCUCUUUAUUGUAAAAUAAACUACCAUAAGAUCCAUUCUGGCUUUAGUAAUUCAUUUAGGAUUCAGUAAUUAAAUCCCUGGUGACCAACCUCUUAAAUGAUCAAGUCCAGUCCUUUAAAAAUUAACCCCUCCCCCCCUUACAGCUAUAUGACCCUAAAUUUUACCUAUUGCUUUAAAUAUAACCUAGUCAUGGAUUAUGAAAUGUUACAAAAAUCUACUGAAAUAUAAAAUAUAUGAAAAUACAAGUCAAAAUUACAAUGCACUUGAGCUACCAAAUAUGAACUCAAGCUGCUAGCAACACAAAAAUAAACCUGCAAUUACAUAUCAUUUCCUUAGUAACCAAAUAGAUCCAUGAAGUAAAACUAAUGUCUUCUUAAUACUAUAAACGUUACUAGACAGAUUACUAGAUCAAACAGAAUAUUUUUUUAAUUUUUACCCAAUUAAUACCCUAAAUGGAAUUUUAAAUAAAAAUGUUUGUUGUAUUAUUCAUUAUUAUUUUUAGAGUCAACAAAUUAGAGACCUACCCUUCUUAUAGUGUUAUGUACUUUACAUAUAGUAUUACAUGUUAUUUCUCUCAUGAGAAUAUGGUUCCUUGAAGGUUGAGACCAUUUUUGCUUUUUCUUUAUAUUCAGUGUUUGGCAUCUAGCUAUAGUAAGUGAUCUCUGACUGAAAACUUUAUUAGCUAUAAUUGCUGAGAGUUUCUAUAAUAAUAAAGCAGCAUACCUAUAACUGACUAAUCUGGAAGUACCUAUAAUUUGGAGACUGACAAUUUAUUUACCAUGCAUAGAAUAACUUUAAGUUGAUGUAUUAGUGGCAAUUAUGCAAUGUUUAUUGGUUCAUAGAAGGAAGCAUCAAAAUGUUCCUCCCCACAAGAAAGAAAAGGAGUACAAGAACAAAGAAAGGGGGUAGAUAGAAAUAAGGGAUUUAAUGCAAGCUGGCACUUAUUAUCCUCUCCUUACCCUUUAUAAUGUAGAGACCCUAUCUAAUUUCUUACUUGUUCACAAAUAUAUAUCAAAGAAGAAUUAUUACUUAUUGAUGAGUGAAAUUACUAAUAAUUGUUUAAAAAAGAUUAUUGUUGAAUCACUAGAUAAUAUUUUAGAUAAUUAUUUAAUAUUUGAUAGUGAUUGAUAUGUUCAAAAUCUCUUUCACUAUAACAACAUCAUGGGAAUAUUGUCAUACUUGCCCCAUCUACCAGGAUAUUAUAUUGGCAAAUGGGUCAAAAUAACACAAUAGCAGACUUGCCUUUGAACUUUGGGCAUGACAACAUUUUCAAUUGCUAUGAUAGCGAUGUCGCAUGUUAAAGACAAGGGCUUUGAUCUACUUUAGGCAGAUCUGGGAAAGAAAUUGACUGAAAGCCUGCUGAAAGAGACUGCAUCAGAUACUACCUGAUAACCAUCAGAUGUGCUUUCAAUGUCAAAGUUGGAUCCCUGGCUCUUAUUUUUAAAGACUUUUAAAUUUAUAUUCAUUAUUGUUCUGGUAACAUCUUCUCUGCCCCAAAAAAGUAUAAAAGCAUAAUCUAGACCCUAUGACUUCAGACACAGAAUAGCAGCACAGUGGAUUAUUGUCACUAAUAUUAACAAGUACCUUUCUCAUCUUGGAUGAAUCUCCCAUUUUCUUUGUAAAUCCCAAAUGUCAUUUUUGGUUUUGCGAUUUUUCACUUACCUUACUGAUAUCUAAUUAUAAAUGUAUAUUAAAAGAAGUGUGUGCCAUGCAUGAAUGGAGAAAGAUUCAAAUAAUAAUUAAAUAAUUACAAUUAAUAAUAAUUAAUAAUUAGAUUUAUCAGCAUUGAUGUUAACUUUUUAAAGAUGUGUGUAAUGUCUUAAUAAUAAGCAAUGGAACUUGAGAGACAAUCUCUUGGAUCAGUAAAAUCUGACCU